AUAGCUUCAGCGAUGGAUCGGUCGAUUCGCGUAUCGAUGAAAAACGCAGCUAGCUGCGUUAUUUACCACGAAUUGCAGACGAUUAGAGUGGUAAAAUUUUGAACGCAUAGCGCCGAUGGGUUUUCCCUCCGGCACGUCUGGUUCAGGGUUGUU
This 153-nucleotide ribosomal RNA is filed under the name Ostertagia ostertagi. RNAcentral describes it as "5.8S ribosomal RNA". It matches the Rfam family "5.8S ribosomal RNA". From Rfam's summary of the family: 5.8S ribosomal RNA (5.8S rRNA) is a component of the large subunit of the eukaryotic ribosome. It is transcribed by RNA polymerase I as part of the 45S precursor that also contains 18S and 28S rRNA. Functionally, it is thought that 5.8S rRNA may be involved in ribosome translocation. Lineage: Eukaryota; Metazoa; Nematoda; Chromadorea; Rhabditida; Trichostrongylidae. The record is from RNAcentral.